CCUCUGGACUACUACAUCAAACCUAAGUAGGUUGUUAGUAAUAACUUCCAAACAGGAGUAGGAUGAAUGAGGAA
RNAcentral lists this non-coding RNA (74 nucleotides) under unclassified sequences. RNAcentral describes it as "RAGATH-18 RNA". It matches the Rfam family "RAGATH-18 RNA". Rfam says of the family: Actinobacteria, Firmicutes, Fusobacteria, Thermotogae (1 example). The record is from Rfam by way of RNAcentral.